This 490-nucleotide ribosomal RNA is filed under the name uncultured bacterium. RNAcentral describes it as "partial 16S ribosomal RNA". It matches the Rfam family "Bacterial small subunit ribosomal RNA", at positions 30 to 507 of the family's 1533-position model. The record is from RNAcentral.
AUUGAACGCUGGCGGCAGGCCUAACACAUGCAAGUCGAACGGUAACAGGGAGCAGCUUGCUGAUUCGCUGACGAGUGGCGGACGGGUGAGUAAUGUCUGGGAAACUGCUUGAUGGAGGGGGAUAACUACUGGAAACGGUAGCUAAUACCGCAUAACGUCGCAAGAGCAAAGAGGGGGACCUUCGGGCGUCUUGCCAUCGGAUGUGCCCAGAUGGGAUUAGCUAGUAGGUGGGGUAACGGCUCACCGAGGCGACGAUCCGUAGCUGGUCUGAGAGGAUGACCGGCCACACUGGAACUGAGACACGGUCCAGACUCCUACGGGAGGCAGCAGUGGGGAAUAUUGCACAAUGGGCGCAAGCCUGAUGCAGCAAUGCCGCGUGUAUGAAGAAGGCCUUCGGGUUGUAAAGUACUUUCAGCGGGGAGGAAGGGAGUAAAGUUAAUACCUUUGCUCAUUGACGUUACCCGCAGAAGAAGCACCGGCUAACUCCGUG